Molecule: long non-coding RNA, 6036 nt
Organism: Dama dama (fallow deer)
Lineage: Eukaryota; Metazoa; Chordata; Mammalia; Artiodactyla; Cervidae
Exons: 2
Source: RefSeq, a predicted model, not a curated record
UUGGGCUUACAGGGGAAAAGCAGGUGUAUAGAAGACUUUCCCGGGGGAAGGGGUGUGAGUGUUGCUGAAAGAGAGGAUGAAAGGAAUGAUGGAUGGAUGUUCAGCACACUUCCUGGUCAGGAGGAGCAUCACACUAAAAGAAGAUUGAACAACCAAACAGUACCUGGGUAGAAGUAGAUUACAUCUCGUGGAUGCAGGAGUUCAGAGCAGCAGGGAUUCUGAAGAACCAGUUGGGAUACGUGUGUCUUCCUUAAUCCAGCCUCUCUGUCACCCAAGAUGUACCUGUGUUUGGCCAGUGGAACUUUAAUUGGGACUGGAAAAGAAAUGGGAAAGGGGUGCAUUCCAAGAGGGGAAACUGCCUGGACUCAGGGAAUGCUCACCAGUCAGCAAGCAGAGCAGAGUGGCCCCAAGGAAGAGAGACUGGGUGAGGAGUUGGGCGAUCAUUUGGAGAUGGACCCGAGCCCAAGGCUGUGACCCAAAUUCAGCGAUGGGAAGCAAGUCCGAGGUAAGGAAACUGAGCACAGAGAAGCCAAAAAACUUGCCCAAGAUCACCCAGCUAGAAAGUGGAAGAACCCAAACUCCAGCUCAGGCAAUCUCCAGAGCCCGUUCUCUUAAUAGUGUUCAUUAAGAAUCAGCAUGGAGAAGUGUUUAAUUCUUACAGACUUUGAAGUAAUGAAAAUAGUCCAAGGACCUUCUUAUGGGUUGAACCGUCCCUUCUUUAUCCCUAAAGAUGUGUUGACAUCCUAACCCUUAAGACCUCAGAAUGUAACCCUAUUUGAGGACUUCCCUGGUGGUCCAGUGGUUAAGAAUCUGCUUUCCAAUGCAGGAGAUGAGGGUUCGAUCCCGAAUCAGGGAACUAAGAUUCCAUAAUUGCCCUUAGCUGUGGGGCAACUAAGCCCACGCGCCGGAAGUACUGAGCCUACACGCACCAGAGCUCACGCACCACAAUUGAUGUAGUUGUGAAGACCUGAUACAGCCAAAGAAACAAAUAAAUACAUAUAAAAAGAAUGUAACCCUACGGAGAUUCCUUUAUGGAGGUGAUCACCCUUAACAUGAGGUCUACAGGGAGGGGCCUAAUCCCACAGGAUUGGUGUCCUAAUGAAAAGGGAAAUUCUGGACACAGAGAGACACACAAGGAGAACAUCACGGGAAGAUGAAGGUAGAAACCGGGGUGAUGUAUCUAGAGGCCAAGGAAUACCAAGGACUGCCAGCAACCCGCCAGAAGCUAGGAGAGAGGUGAGGAACACAUGCUCCCUCACAGCCCUUAGAAGGAGGCAACUCUGCCAACACCAGCCUUCUAGUCUGCAUACUGUGGGAGAAUCAAUUCCUGUUGUGUAAGCCACCCGGUCUGUGGUACUGGAUGGCAGCCCUGGCAAACCAAGGCAGACCUCCAUCUCCACUGUGGGCUCUGAGGAGCCAGGGAUCCUGAGCCAGGAAUCCAAGGGCAGGCUGGGGGCUGUGAAGUACGCAGUCAGUAUUCCAUGAAAGGCUGGAGGGGGGUCAGGUCUGCAGAUUCUUGAAGCCACUGGCUUUUUCGUUGCCUCGUUCCUGGUAAGGCCAUUUCACAGCUUGUUAUUGUGUGGUCGUUUCUCUAGCUGAGAAGGCCCUGAGAAGCCUUUUUUUUUUUUUUAUGUAGGGGACCACGGAGAAGGCAGUGGCACCCCACUCCAGUACUCUUGCCUGGAAAAUCCCAUGGAUGGAGGAGCCUGGUAGGCUGCAAUCCAUGGGGUCGCUAAGAGUCGGACACGACUGAGCAACUUCACUUUCACUUUUCACUUUCACACAUUGGAGAAGGAAAUGGCAACCCACUCCAGUGUUCUUGCCUGGAGAAUCCCAGGGACGGGGGAGCCUGGUGGGCUGCCGUCUAUGGGGUCGCACAGAGUCGGAAACGACUGAAGUGACUUAGCAGCAGCAGCGGCAGCAUGCAGGGGACCAAGAGCAAGAAGACCAGACUUCUCAGCCAAAGGCAUCAGCAGAUCAUCUAUAUUGUGUCAUUCCUAAUGUCUGGAUGUCAAAGGUACCCACAUUUCGUCAGUACUCCUGAUAGUAAGACUGAAUUGCAGUUAAGAAACCAACUUGUAACGGGAAGGCAGAGGGGAGGAAGGAGGCGGUACACCACCUGUAUAUAAAACUGAUAGCCAAUGGGAAUUUGUUGUAUGACUCAAGGAACUCAAACCAGGGCUCUGUAAUAGCCUGAAGCGGGGGGAGGUGGCAGGGAGGGUCAAGAGAGAGGGGACAUAUGUAUACCUAUGACUGAUUCAUGUUGAUGUAUGGCACAAACCAAUGCAAUACCGUAAAGCAAUUAUCCUUCAAUUAAAAAAUACAACUUGUAAAAGAAAUUGUCUGUGAAUGAAAUCAGAUUCCAGGGGUGUCCUUGGGAUCUGGUACCACCCAAAAGGGAUCCAGGAAAAGUCAUCAAAUUGUAAAAGCCACAGGGAUCCUUACAGGUGAUGCUGCCAACAUCACUUCUUUCACAAGGAAAAGAAAAGGAAGCUUGGGGAGGAAAAGUGAUUUCCCCAGGUCACAUAACUGCUCAGCAGCAGAGUCAAAAGUAAUAACAAUCAUGGUUGCGACAACAGUGAGAGUAGCUUAAAUGUAUCUCAUGCUUAUUAUGAGCCAGGCCUGAUACUAAGUGCCAACAGGGGUCAUUUCAUUUGCUCCUUAUGGUAACCUGGUAACCUCAGAGGUAGGCCUGCUCUGUGGUGAAGAGAUGGGGUUUAGUGAGAUCAGAUGACGUCAGGCAAGUGGUAAGUGGUGGAACCUGCAUUCCGCUGGGGCAAGUCCAACUUUAACUGCCUCUCCCAACACCUGAGCUGUGUCUGGCCUCCUUGCCUUGUGCACAUAUGCUGCCUGCAGGGAGCCACGAGGUGACAGGAAAGGGCAGGUCUGCUGUAAGACACGGGCUGGUGUGCAUACCUGUGGCUGAUUCAUGCUGAUGUUUGGCAGAAAACAACAGAACUCUGUAAAGCAAUUAUCCUUCAGUUAAAAAAAAAAAAAGACAGGGGCUGGUGGUCCCGAGCACCCAGAGAGGACCACAUGCCUAUCGCUGUUACCAUGCAGAUACACAUACCCAGGACGGGUACAUGGGCCACAGCCAUCUGCCUGCUGGGCUCCGCAAAGAACAGUUUCCCCCAGCAAACGGGGUCUUUUACUGCCUUUGGAAAGGAGGCUCCUGGCUGAAAGUCCAUCUGAACAACUCUUGAGACUCCAGGAGGGACCUCCCUAGUGGUCCAGUGGUUAAGACUCUGCCUUCUGAUGCAGGAGACUCAGGUUCGAUCCCUGGUCAGGCAACUAAGCCAACGCGCCACAAGGAAGACCCAAGCACAGUCAGGGUAAGAAUAAAUAAAUAAAUAAAGACUCCAGGAAACAAGGCCCAAGGUGGGUAAAGAGUGAUUGUUUGUACUCCCCACCAGGCCAAGGAACGCCAGCUCUGCACAGGACUGUGGGCACCCACGGUGGAGCAGAGUGGAAAGAAAAGUGGAGUCAGAGAAAACUGGGUCCAGGGCCAGCCAUUUCUGAGCUGUGUGCUGAGACCAGUUACUUAGCCUUCCGGGGCCUCAUUUCCACAAUUCACAACCAGGCAGCUGCUGGGAGGGUAACAGAUGAGGUAUGCAAAACAUACGGGUGCUCCAGAAAUAUUGUUCUGCUUCAUUUUCCCUUGAGGAAAGCCAGGUGCAGAACUACGGCCUUAGGGGUAUGUGAACUCACCUGUGUGUGAGACUAUACACAUCUUGUCUCUCAUACAGAAAGCUGAACCCUGUCUCUAAGUGACUGGUAAAAAGUUGCCUUUCAUUUUUAAAUUUUUUAACUGGAGGAAAAUUGCUUUACAGUGUCAUGUUGGUAAAAAUUUGCCUUUUAGAUAAACCUCAAAAUUAAGGUGGUUCUCCAUCUAGCAUUUUUUAAAAAGAAUGGAAGUAGAGUUGAUUUACAAUACUCUGUUAGUUUCAAGUAUAUAGCAAAGUGAUCCUAUAUAUAUAUAUAUAUAUAUACACACACACAUAUAUAUAUAUAUAUACUAUUUUUCAGAUUAUUUUCCAUUAUUAUUAUAGGAUAUUGAUUAGAGUUCCCUGUGCUAUACAGUAUAUCUUUGCUUCUUAUCUAUUUUAUAUAUGGUAGUGUGUAUCUGUUAAUACCAUACUUCUAAUUUAUCCAUCCCCUCUCUUUUCCAUUUGGUAACUAUGAGCUUAUUUUCUGUGUCUGUGAUGUGUUUCUGUUUUUUAUAUAGAUUAAUUUGUGUUAUUUUUUAGAUUUAACAUAUAAGUGAUAUCAUGUAAUAUUUGUCUUUCUCUGACUUCACUAAUAUUCUUUAGGUUCAUACAUGUUGUUGCAAAUGGCAAUAUUUCAUUCUUUUUUAUGGCUGAGUUAUAUACAUAUAUAUAUAUAUACGCCACAUUUUCUUAAGCCAGUUGUCUGUUGCUGGGCACUUGUGGUGUCUACACGUCUUCGCUAUUGCAAAUAGUGCUUCUGUGAAUGUUGGGGGCGCAUGUAUCUUAGUGUUUUUAUCUUUUCCAGAGUGGGACUGCUGGAUCGUAUGGUAGUUCUAUUUUUAGAUUUUUAAGGAAUAUCUUUAUUGUUUUCCAUCGUAUUUACACAUCAAUUUACAUUCCUCCCAACAGUGUUGGAGGGUUGUCUCUUCUCCACAUCCGCUCCAGUAUUUAUUAUUUGUAGACUUCCUCAUGAUAGCCAUUCUGACAGGUAUGUUACCUCAUUGUGGUUUUGAUUUGCAUUUCUCUAAUAUAAUUGGCAUAUUGAGCAUCUUUUCAUGUGCCUGUUGGCCAUUUCUGACUUUUUUAGAGGAAUGUCUAUUUAGGUCUUCCACCCAUUUUUUGAUGGGGUUGUUUUCUUGAUAUUGAGUUGUAUGAGCUGCUUGUAUAUUUUGGAUAUUAACCCCUUGUUGAUUGCACAAUCAGCAAAUUUUUUUUUCCCCCUCAUUCAGGAGGUUCCCUUUUUGUUUUGUUGAUCGUUUCCUUUGCUGUGCAAGAGCUUUUAAGUUUGAUUAGGUUCCAUUUAUUUAUUUUUGGCUUUAUGUCUUUUGCCUUGGGAAACUAAGAAAACAUUGCUACGAUUUAUGUCUGAGAAUAUUUUGCCCCUACUCCCCUUUAUGAGUUCUAUAGUGUCAUAUCUUACACUUAGAUUUCUAAACCAUUUGAGUGUAUUUUUGUGUAUGACGUGAGGGUGUGUUCUCUCUUCACUUAUUUACAUGCAGUUGUCCAGCUUUCACAACACCACUUGCCAAACAAACUGUCUUUUCUCCAUUGCCUAGUUUUGCCUCCUUUGUCAAAGAUGAAUUGAAUAUAGGUGUGAGUUUAUCUCUGGGUUAUUCUGUACCAUUGAUCUGUGUGUCUGUUUUUGUGUCAAUGCCAUGCUGCUUUGAUUAUUUAGCUUUGUAUCAACAGUAUAGUCUGAAGUCUGGGAGGGUUAUGCCUUCAGCUUUGUUUUUUUGACCCCCUAUGCUGAAGUUGAGACUCCAAUACUUUGGCCACCUGAUGCAAAGAACUGACUCAUUGGAAAAGACACUGAUGCUGGACAAGAUUGAAGGCAGGAGGAGAAGGGGACGGCAGAGGAUGAGAUGGUUGGAUGGCAUCACUGAUUCGAUGGACAGGAGCUUGAGCAGGCUCUGGGAGUUGGUGAGGGACAGGGAAGCCUUGCAUUCUGCAGUCCGUGGGGUUACAGAGAGUCGGAUAUGACUGAGCGACUGAACUGAACUGAGGGUUGCUUUGGCCAUUCUGAGUCUUUUGUGGUUCUGUAUAACUUUUAGGAUUAUAUGUUCUAGUUCUGUGAAAAAUGUCAUAUGAGUAUUUUGAUAGGGAUCACAUUAAAUCCAUAGAUUGCUUUGCGUAGUGUGGUCAUUUUAACAAUAUUCUUCCAAUCCAGGAGCAUGGGAUGUUGUUCUGUUUCUUUGAAUCAUAUUUCAUUUCUCUUAUGAUAAUGUGUUUUUCCCUGUCUUAUGGGUAUGAACAUGUAUAAUCCUCCAACUAUGUAUUAAUAAAGAAAAAUAAAUGCUGAACAAGACCAUUAAAAAAGCCACAAAAACCA